ACUUUCUUCCAAAGAUUAAGUCGUUGGAAAAGAAAUCCCGGAUUCUGGACUAAUCCAGAUAAAAUAAUAUUUAUGUAUUUUAGAUCAGAACGAAUUAAGGUCCUGAAAACCGUGAAUGCUUUCUACAAAUAGGUUAUUUCUAGCGAGAAAGUCUAUAGCAGGUCGAUCAGCAGAUUAGGAAUUAUUUCAGAUGUGGUGUUAUGCACCCUUCUCCAAAUAAGCCAAAGGUCAAACACAUAAUUAGAUAUAGCUUUAUAACCAGUUUGGCUGUGUGUGUAUGAGGGUGUAAUAAAUUGGUGACAGAUGUUGCUUGUUCAGAAGGGGUUGUACAGUCAUACAGGGUCAGCUGGCUUUAUCUGAAAUCACCCACAGCCAUUAUGCCUGAUGUAACCCUACAGAACAUGCAUCUGCUGAUUGUAUUCUCCGGUCUUCAUUUGAUUAUUUCCCUUUAACAGCACGUCCUGAAGUUUUAUUCCUCUUAGACCACAGCAAUUUGCCAAUGAUUACAGUCUUUUAUUAAAUUAAAGAACAACACUUCACAAUUUGUAUCCAGUUAUAGUCACAUUUAAAGUUGUUGAAUAUCCACAAACCAAGUUAGAUUCCCUUAUCACUUAUGUUAUAGCAGGUAUAAUCAGUCAUUCCCUCACCAGCCUCUCUUUUCUCUCUCUCUCUCUCGAUCAAAGUUAAUAAGACAAAAAUGCAGCUUGUCAUGUUACAGAGAAACCGCAAAGCUCCCUGCUCUGACAGUUUUUCUGUAAGGGAACAAUUAAAGUUACAGCUUUACCUUUACCAGACUAUUACAAAACGCUGACACUGGAGACCCCUUACAAAAAUUGUUAAAUAAAUAAAUGUUAAAUCAUGUCCUCACUUUAAACUUCAUAUCACUAAUUACACAUUGUUUAAAAAUCGUUUAUGUGUAUUCUACAAUCAUCAAGUAGGGUAAGUGCUUUAAUAUAAACUUUGCUGUCCGAACCAUGCAGUUAUAGAAAAUGAAUCAACAUUUUUGUCCAAUAGGAUCAACUAAAUAAAUAAUACUGUUGGUCAUGUACAAUAAAUACACAAUGAGAUUGGUUUCAAUGAGUGCAUUGCAAGCAGCGCAGUAAUAUUUGAGGUCUAGUGUGAUUACUCCUCAGAAAAACACUCCUUAAUUGCUGACAUUGAACAUGAAGUUGAACUAUAAACUAAAUACAUUUUAUGUGCAAAAUCAUUGAAACAUUUCCUCGAGAUUACCUCAACUAACUUAUAACUCAAUUUAAUCUUAUAUUAAGUAAUAUUUUUACACAAUCAGGAAAGCGUUUUGUGUGUUCUGAUAUCCCAGAUCAGUCAGGCCACAGUCACUGUGCUAAUUUGAUCAUAUCGGAUCUUAGUUCCAAAUCAAAGCACUUCUAUUUCCUGUCAGAAUUGGUGUUCAAAGCAGAUAUGAACAAAGCUUGUUCUGUCAUUUCAUGAGCUGCUGCUCUGUGUGUCAAAGCAGGAGGAUGAAAAGAAGCCAAAGCAGAUAAAUACUGUAUAAUCUAACCAGUAGUCAUUUUGCAUUACUUCAGCCUCUUUUCUUUUUUUUCUUUUUUUAUCAUUUGUCUUCUUGUUUUAAAAGACAGACAACACAGAGUUCGUUCUGACAAUCUGACACAAAGGGUUUGUUUAAGAGAAAUGGAUCUAGGGUGGUAACUGUUAGUGUGUGUGUACUGUGUCUCAUCAGUACAGCCAACCAUACUGCUAGAUUUUUAGUGCUUUAAACUGGUAAUUAAAGUAAAAAGACACAGUUUUGCAUGUGUUUUUCUUAUGAAAUGUAUAGACUCAUGCUACGGCUAGUGAUACGGCUAAUUAAAUGUAUGUUACAUUUUACCACUCUUCCACAUGUUCUUUAGUGGAAUGGCAGAUGGGUUAUUUUUCUUGACAUGAUUUGGUCUUAGCCAGUGUGCCAGAGUGCAGUGCUGCCAUGCUGCAGUCAGGCUGUGUGCUUGAAUCCAGAGUCAAUGGAGGCAUAGGUGUCAAUCACUGAAACACCCCUAUAUAUAGUUUGAAAAGUGCCUUGAGACUCUAUGCACAGAAGGAGGUUCAGACCCAGACCCAUGCAGAGUGUGAGGAGCUUGCACAUCAGGACGAGUGGAUUCAGCUGAGCUGAUGGUGUGACACUCAAAGAAUUCUGACACUGAGGAUUUUGCCUGCAGAUAUGGCUUUGGGAGUCCACAGUCCAUCCAUUUUACAGACCGUUUAUCCUACAAAGGGUCGCAGGGGAUCCUGGAGCCUGUCCCAGGGCGCUCGGGGCACAAGAACCCCCAACCCCAGAGGUGCGAGCAAACAUGCUAACUACUAAGCUGUCAUACCCUUUGUAAGUGGAACAGUUGGUAUUUAUUUCAAUUGGCAUUUAUUUGGGCUCCACAUUUACAAAUAUUUUACUGUAUACUUCACCUCCCGUGUGCUAGUUUAAAGAGCAUCAGUUCCAGAAAUCCAUAUGGCUUUCAAAGAUGCUUUCUAUUCUUCUUCUUUCUUAAGCCUUGUUUAUAAUACAUGACUGCUUCCAGGAAUGUUUUGGUAUGUGGACUUGAUGUUUCCAAAGAUGCUUUCUGUUAUUCUUCUUUCUUAAGCCUUGUUUAUAAUACACAAUUGCUUCCACAAAUGUUUGGUUAUGUGGCAUUGAUUUUUCCUAUAUAUUUAAGAUAAUUCAGGGGUGGAAUAUUGGGGAAAUGUAGUAAAUACUGCGUGAUUACAUAAUAGGAAUUCAUUCCUUGAGUGUGAGAGUAGUGCACAGUGUGUAAAAAUGUAAAAUGUCAUCUUGACUAGAAUUAUUCUUUUUCAUGCCUCUAUUAGAAAUAUUACCUUGGCACUACAUGCAUGCUUUAACACCCUGUACAGUAGUACCACUGUAGCGACCAUAUAUUUACAUGAAAAAUAUCAGCAAGUACAUUUAACUAAGGGAUGAGAUGUUACAACAAAUGUAGCUGGUGAGAGACCACAAUUGUACUGUUUUAAUAUUAACAAUGACGAUACUUUUUCUAAUUAAAUAACAGCAUGCUUUUUGAUUCUUUCAUUAGUUUUAGCUAAUGUGAAGCAUCCAUCUUACAAGUACCUGUGAAUUGCUUGUUACUACAGAAACAGAUAAUGCAUAAUAUUUCGGUGUGGAUGUGUUUAUGCAGAUGCUUGUUUGCAUUUGUGCUUAUAUUCAUCCAUUAGGCUACAGUACUAUAGAUUACUGUCAUUAACAUGUAAUAAAUAAGUGACAUCCUUUAAAAUUCCCACGAUGCUACACAUAUUAGAAUUUUGUCCUUUAUAAUACUUUCACUAGUUGACAUGCCAUUAAAAAGUGUUGUAUAAAUUACAGACAGGGAUACCAGAGUAUGUUUUUCCCCACACAUGUCCGUGUCAACAUGGUUGCAAGACCACUGUAUGCAGAGUGUGUAAAUGCUCUUCUCUGUUUUGAUGAUUGUGUGGUGAUUUUUGUCUUUUUUUUUGGCUGUUUUUCAGAAUCCAGAAUUUUUGCAGCUAACCACACAAUUAAUGUAUUGUUUCUUUAAGUGC
Long non-coding RNA from Ictalurus furcatus (blue catfish), 3519 nucleotides. RefSeq lists it as uncharacterized. The record is from RefSeq and is a predicted model, not a curated record. Lineage: Eukaryota; Metazoa; Chordata; Actinopteri; Siluriformes; Ictaluridae. The transcript is spliced from 3 exons.